This 493-nucleotide ribosomal RNA is filed under the name uncultured bacterium. RNAcentral's name for it is "bacterial SSU rRNA". It matches the Rfam family "Bacterial small subunit ribosomal RNA", at positions 355 to 865 of the family's 1533-position model. The record is from RNAcentral.
UGGGGAAUAUUGGACAAUGGGCGAAAGCCUGAUCCAGCAAUGCCGCGUGAGUGAUGAAGGCCUUAGGGUUGUAAAGCUCUUUUACCAGGGAUGAUAAUGACAGUACCUGGAGAAUAAGCUCCGGCUAACUCCGUGCCAGCAGCCGCGGUAAUACGGAGGGAGCUAGCGUUGUUCGGAAUUACUGGGCGUAAAGCGUACGUAGGCGGUUAUUCAAGUCAGGGGUGAAAGCCUGGAGCUCAACUCCAGAACUGCCCUUGAAACUAGAUAACUAGAAUCUUGGAGAGGUGAGUGGAAUUCCGAGUGUAGAGGUGAAAUUCGUAGAUAUUCGGAAGAACACCAGUGGCGAAGGCGACUCACUGGACAAGUAUUGACGCUGAGGUACGAAAGCGUGGGGAGCAAACAGGAUUAGAUACCCUGGUAGUCCACGCCGUAAACGAUGAUAACUAGCUGUUCGGGCUCUACGAGCUUGAGUGGCGCAGCUAACGCAUUAAGU